Molecule: ribosomal RNA, 408 nt
Filed under: uncultured bacterium
Lineage: Bacteria
Description: partial 16S ribosomal RNA
Rfam family: Bacterial small subunit ribosomal RNA
Source: RNAcentral
GACGAACGCUGGCGGCGUGCUUAACACAUGCAAGUCGAACGAAGUGGCGAACGGGUGAGUAACGCGUAAUCAACCUGCCCUUCAGAGGGGGACAACAGUUGGAAACGACUGAUAAUACCGCAUACUGAAGGAGGGGAUUGCGUCGGAUUAGCUAGUUGGAGGGGUAACGGCCCACCAAGGCGAUGAUCAGUAGCCGGGCUGAGAGGGGGAACGGGCACAUUGUGACUGGGACACGGCCCAGACUCCUACGGGAGGGAGCAGUGGGGAAACUUCCGGAAUGGACGAAAGUCUGACGGAGCAACGCCGCGGGAGUGAUGACGGCCUUCGGGUUGUAAAGCUCUGUUAAUCGGGACGCGGUACCGGAAUAGAAAGCCACGGCUAACUACGUGCCAGCCGCCGCGGUAAUAC